UUCCAGACUCCUACGGGAGGCAGCAGUGGGGAAUAUUGGGCAAUGGAGGAAACUCUGACCCAGCAACGCCGCGUGAAUGAUGAAGGUCUUCGGAUUGUAAAGUUCUUUUCUAAGGGAAGAAGAAAGUGACGGUACCUUAGGAAUAAGCCUCGGCUAACUACGUGCCAGCAGCCGCGGUAAUACGUAGGUGGCAAGCGUUAUCCGGAUUUACUGGGUGUAAAGGGAGCGCAGGCGGCGCGGCAAGUCAGAUGUGAAAGCCCGGGGCUCAACCCCGGGACUGCAUUUGAAACUGCCGUGCUGGAGUGUCGGAGAGGCAAGUGGAAUUCCUAGUGUAGCGGUGAAAUGCGUAGAUAUUAGGAGGAACACCAGUGGCGAAGGCGGCUUGCUGGACGAUAACUGACGCUGAGGCUCGAAAGCGUGGGGAGCAAACAGGAUUAGAUACCCCAGUA
This 449-nucleotide ribosomal RNA is filed under the name uncultured bacterium. Its description in RNAcentral is "bacterial SSU rRNA". It matches the Rfam family "Bacterial small subunit ribosomal RNA", at positions 329 to 792 of the family's 1533-position model. The record is from RNAcentral.